This 318-nucleotide long non-coding RNA is filed under the name Mytilus galloprovincialis (Mediterranean mussel). Lineage: Eukaryota; Metazoa; Mollusca; Bivalvia; Mytilida; Mytilidae. The record is from RNAcentral.
AGGGGCCCAAAAGGGCCCAAAACAAGCAUUUAUCUAGUUUCAGGACAAUAAGGCGUGUAUAAGUAUUUCAAUUGCUCUGAAAUUGUACCACAAUGUUUAAUAUUAUAAGUAGAAGGUUGGGAUUUAUUUUAAGGGUUAUGGGGCAAACAGUCUAGGAAUAAGGGGCCAAAAACAAGCAUUUUUGUAGUUUCAAGACAAUAACUUGUGUAAAAGUGUAUGAAUCUUUCUGAAAUUAGACCACAAGAUUCCAUACUACUAAGGGAUGGUUAGGAUUGACUUUGGGGGGUUAUGGCUCAAACCAUAUAUGAAUUUGGGGCA